This is a non-coding RNA of Lasiosphaeria ovina, 114 nucleotides long. NCBI's taxonomy places the organism in Eukaryota, Fungi, Ascomycota, Sordariomycetes, Sordariales, Lasiosphaeriaceae. The record is from the annotation of a GenBank genome assembly.
ACCCGGCUGGCGCAAUGGUAGCGCGCAAGACUUCUACAAACACGAGAAAUCGUGGAUUCUCUCAAAAUCAGUAGCUACAUCUUGAGGCUGUGGGUUCGAGUCCCACGUUGGGUG